CUGACUUCGUCUUCUUCUUCUUCUGCCGGAAAAUUCUCAGACUUU
RNAcentral lists this small RNA (45 nucleotides) under Arabidopsis thaliana (thale cress). RNAcentral describes it as "ATSL051390". The record is from RNAcentral. Lineage: Eukaryota; Viridiplantae; Streptophyta; Magnoliopsida; Brassicales; Brassicaceae.